RNAcentral lists this ribosomal RNA (253 nucleotides) under uncultured bacterium. RNAcentral describes it as "partial 16S ribosomal RNA". It matches the Rfam family "Bacterial small subunit ribosomal RNA", at positions 524 to 776 of the family's 1533-position model. The record is from RNAcentral.
UACGUAGGGUGGAAGCGUUAAUCGGAAUUACUGGGCGUAAAGCGUGCGCAGGCGGUUAUGCAAGGCAGAUGUGAAAUCCCCGGGCUCAACCUGGGAACUGCAUUUGUGACUGCAUGGCUAGAGUACGGUAGAGGGGGAUGGAAUUCCGCGUGUAGCAGUGAAAUGCGUAGAUAUGCGGAGGAACACCGAUGGCGAAGGCAAUCCCCUGGACCUGUACUGACGCUCAUUCACGAAAUCGUGGGGAGCAAACAGG